AACCUAUUAACCCUCUCCACCUCCCCCGCCAACCUCCCCACUACCCUUGCCGGCCUCUACUCUCUAAGUCCAUGAGUUCAAUUGUUUUGAUUUUUAGAUCCCACAAAUAAGUGAGAACAUGUGAUGUUUGUCUUUCUGUGCCUGGCUUAUUUCACUUAACAUAAUGACCUCCAGUUCCAUCCAUGUUGUUGCAACAUAGAUCUUACAUUUUUUAGCAUAAUUUUUCUCAAAGAAAAAGAAUGACUUAGUAGAGAUUAUUUAAAUAACAAAUUGGUAAAAUCUAUUAAAAGUGGGACUUUAAGAUUGUAUUAGAAAAAUCCUUUGUUUACAUAAUGCUUAAAAUUCCUGAACAAGUAUAAAAUACAGUCUAUCACCCUGGUCUAGUUCAUAAACAUUUUUGAUAACUUACCAUGUCUGUCUAAUGUUCAGAAUGCUUCAAAUAUUUGUCAUUAUAUUGACAAAAUAUCUGGAUAAUUGACAGAUUUUUUAAUGUUCCACCUGCUUGUCUCAUGUAGACACAGCUCAUAUCUAUUUCCCUCUGCAAAAAUAUAUUCUUGUCCAACUUACCUGUCAGGCUCUUUUAUGAUUAUGAAGAAUACCUUGCAAGAAGCUGAUGGAUUCCCUUUUUAUCCCCUAAAUCAUCUUGAGCUGUCACAUUGGAGCUGACACACUUUCAUUAUCAUAAAUACACACAAUACACCUCUUUACAAUUUAGUAACAAAUGGCUAAAUGUAUUUUUAAAACAUUUUAAUUGUGUAGAAAGCUAUAUCUGGUGCAUGUUUUUCUUUUUCAUGUUGUAAAAUCCAGUGAUUAACUGCCAUCUUUUAAUAUUGGUGCGGUGAUGAUCAUAAUAUCAAAAGCAUUCUGGCAUUAUGAAUUCAUAGUCAAAUGGUGACACCAACCAGAUGAGAUGAUGGUGUACCAGGCUCGAUGACAGUUCUAUCUCAGUUUAUCAUCUUAACUAAAAAAUAAUCCUAUCUAACUUGAAAUCCACAGCAGCUAUAAGUAGAAAAUAAAUCCAAACCACAGCUCAGACUUGUAACCUAACAGCUAUCAUAAAUAAUCAGAGCCUAUUUGAAGGUGGAAGAUGGGACAUUAGAAGCUAUUUACACUACUAGAGUGAUGCCAUCGAUCAGUAGCGGCAACCCGUAGAUAAGGCUCCUAUGAUGUCAUGGUUAUUUAUGAUGGGCAUUGACAGUAAAGCUACUACGGAAUUUUCUCCUCAGACAGCUUCAUUCAUUUUUGUUUGUGAUGCAUUUUGUUAUUAAAGAAGCAAUCAAUAGCAAAAAUCGUGGUGAUAAAAGUAUUACUUGUUAAAUAUGUGAAAAAUGUGCAUGUAUGUAAGAAUGUGGGACAAAAGAUGAAGAAUUUAAAAAUUCACUGGCAGUGUUUACGUGUUCCAGCUACAAAUACAUAAUAGAUUCAUUUCACAUGUCUUGGGCUUUCAAAUGUGGCCCACUUGUUCUUCCUCUUACAUCCUAUUCUCUUGUUAGAAAGCAGAGUUAAAAUGUUGUGGUGCCCUCCCACUUCCCCCCACAUCAUAUAUUUGACUCACUUUAGACAAUAUAAAAUUUAAUUAGAGAAAUCACAUGUGAUAAAGACAAACACCCAUUACUUUGUACAUAACCCAUCUAUAUGAGAGCAAAUUUGGUGAUUUCAGUUUAGUUUUUUUUUAAAUGUCAUUUUUUACUUGUUUUGUUUCCCCCCAUCCUGUAGCUCAUCUUCUAUUACUGAAAAUAUUCACUAGACCAGUGCUUCUCAUACCUUAAUAUACACACACAUCAGCUGGGAAUCUUGUUAAAAUGCAGUUUCUGUCGCAGUAGUUCCGGGAAGGGCCUGAAAUCCAACAUUUCUGAUAAGCACCCAGGUGACUCAAUGACAGUCCAGGGAUGCUGGUCCAGGGAUCACACUUUUAGCAGCAAGACACUAGGUAAGGUGGUUAUUUCCAUACAUUGCAGUCUUCCCUUCAAAUCAUUUGCCUGUAUUUAAAAUGGAUGUUUUUCUCAUUGGUGUAGAGCAGUGGUUCUCAAACUUUAGCUGUAGAGAGCCAUUUGGAGUGGUUGUUUAAACAGAUGUCUGUGCCCCAUCCCCGAGUUUCUGAUUCAAUAAGUCUGGGGUGAGCCCAAGAAUUUGCACUUCUAAAAAGUUCCCAAAUGACCACAUUUUUGAAAACCCCUGGUGUGGAGUCCUAAUUUAACAUUCACAUGACACUUGAAGCCCUUAUGUAAUGCUGGCAAGGUGCUUCUAUGCUUCCCAACACACACACACACACACACACACACACACACCCCUAACAUAAAUACAUUUCCUAAAUACCUAUAAUUCAGAAAAAAGUGUUAUCUAUAGAAAGGUUUCUUUGGCCUAAAUUACUCCAGUUUUCUGAUAGCCCCAGUUCACACCAUUUCAAUUCAGUGGGUUUCUGUGAGGUGCCUACCAUUCCAGAUAUUUGGGGCACAGUGGGGACCAAGACACAGCCCCAGCUCUCCAGAGUUGACAGUCUAGGGCAGGGAGACCUACAAGCAAACAGGCAGUUACGAUACAGGGUGAUAAUUAUUACACUCUGUAAGGCGGAGGUGCUAUGAGACCUAGCUCAGUUUAUUAGGCAUCCGGGGAAACUUCUUGGAGAAGUGAAAUCUCAGCUGGUGCCUGAAGAAUGAGUAGAAGUUCAAGGGAGGGGAGCACUUAUGAAUUCUCUUGUAUUCUUGAUAAAGGGAAUAGGCUUUUGAAAACCUAUUUUUCUUUGGUAAACAGUAUUGAAAAUUAGUCACAAAGGACAGAUAGGCUAUCACUCAGGGUUGGUUGCUGAUAUCAUCUUUAUUUUCCUGUAAUGGCUGAGUAUAGAUUAUAUUAAACAUUAGUCACCAUGUGAAAAAUACACUUUGACACACAGACACAUCUUUUCACAUCUAUUUGUGUAGAAGGCUGGAGGUCAAGCAGGGGGCAAUGUCAUGUUUUAACAAUGCCCUUUUAUAAGGAUUCAGUUCCAGGAACACUUCUUGGGCAUCUUCUGAGUACACAGUAUUUGGCUCGGGCUUCAGAGUUUUGAGGGCUUCUAGAAGACAGGGACUUUGUCCAUGAAGCAUGUGUACAUUCCUGGUUUCAAGGCAAGGCAUACACAGUCCAGUGGUUGGAAUCACCUGAGGAGUUUUAAAACUUCUGAUCCCCAAGGCCCAUCCUGAACAAUCAAAUUAAAAUCUAUGAGAACAGGAUCCAUUUAUCAGAACUUUAUAAAGCUUUCCUGGUGAUUCUAACUUUGAGAACCAUGUUUAUAGAUGGAAUGAGCUAAUAAUGUCCGGUGCUUCACCGUAUUUUGCAUAUGUGUUAAUUUGAACCCAAUUAGCACAUCAACAAAGAUAAAAUUAUUAACUGCAUUGCCUCUUUCUGUACAAUUUCCUUUUGAGCAGCAGAAUUGAUUCCAGAACAAUGAUAUUGGUGUUUAAAGGAGGAAAAUACAAAUGAGUAGCUAAAAAUAGUUAUGCAAAUUGACUGGAUAUAUUAGGGUUAAUAAAACCAAUAACUAACUCUUUACAGAUUUAAUCCUAUGAGAAAGCAGAAGAGAGCCAGCAAAAUUUGCACAUUCCAUUCUAGAAAGUUUUUUAUUUAUUUUUUUUUAAGAAAGUGUUAUUAAAAGAAAGAAAACACUCAGAAGGAAGGUCUAGAGAGAUGCCUCAAAAAGAGUAAACAGAAUUGCUACCGUCUGGGUUUGCUCUUAUGCUUUAAAGACAAAGAAAGAAGGAAGGAAGGGAGGGAGGGAGGGAGGAAGGAAGGAAGGAAGGAGAGAAGGAAGGAAGGAAAGAAGGAAGGAAGGCGGGGAGGGUAGUGGUGUUGGUGUUUAGUUUUGGGAUCCAGCCUUGAAAAUAAGAAGAGAUCAAAUUGGGGAGGGAUGUCAACCAAGCAACUGGCCAAACGAAAAUUCCCCCAUCUCCCUAAUGUUUAUUGUGGGAUAAGAGUCUGUAGAAACACCUCAAUAAUCCUUUUUUUUUUUUUUUUUUAAAUAAAAAAGAAACAUUUUCCACAGCCAUCUGGUUUCUAUGUAAAUGUAUGCAGUGACUCUGGAGCCAUCCAAAUCCCAGUACGCAUCUCACUUGCUCACUGACUCUUUUUUGGAGAAUCAGAAGAAGAAUCAAAAGCCUCUUUGAGGAUUACAGAAAAGGAAUUCCACAUGUGUUAGUGUGUGCAUGUAUAGGCAAUUUAUUUUAGAGAAAAGCUCCACUAAAAUCAAAUGAAUAUAAUCUAAACAUGCUUUUAAAAGAUUAAAAUAAAAAGAGAGAUGUAUCUGGAAAGCCCUUUGAAUUUUUAUAGUAGGGUCAAUUUAUGUGGUUCAUCCUAUGUAUUUUGAGAUCAAUCUUCAGUGGGACUUACAAUAAAUGAUGUGUUUAAGAUUUCUAUAGUCUUCCAGUGUGUUAUGACACUUAUGAAACUAUAAGAAACACUCACAGUAAGCUAUUCCUGCCUUCUAUUAUCAUUCUACUGUAAGUUAUUUCUGUAGAUAUAUUGUUUUCAAGUUUUUAUUAUAUAAAUCCUCUUUAUUGCUUUUUCAUGGGGAUGAUAAUUAACACUUUUAUGGCUGUUGUGUAUUACAAGUAUCUUUAUAUAUAACAUUAGAGUUCAUAUUCAAAACCACUGUAUUAGGUAGGUAUGGUUCCCAGUCUUUAGGUGAGAAAAAACUAGGUUCAGAGAGUCAAAACCCAGACAAUCAUUAAUUCCUAAUCACCCUUAAAAAUUCCACCUGUAGGCUGGGUGUGGUGGCUUAUGCCUGAAAUCCCAGCACUUAGGGAGGCCAAGUUUUGAAGGUAACAAUGUCCCAAGCAUUUUGAGACUUCUUCUUUGGUUAAUGGACAAAACAGCUUCCGAAAUAGAAGCAUUAUAGGAAAAUUCUAAUCUUGAUCUAACUCAGCAAUUGAAUAUAGCUUAAAGCUUAUAGCAUAAUUUCUGGGCCACCUGAUAGACUGACUUCAAUUAUUUUUUGAAUCAUUAGAAUGUAGCAUUGUAAUUAAUUUUUUUUCACAAAUCAAGUGUAAUAAGAUGAAUCUCUAAUUUUAAAAAAAGUUAAUGUUUCCCAAGGCUAAAAAAGAGAAAUGUGUUUGUUUUCAAAGAUAAUCUAUGUGCAUAUUCAUCAGUAUGUUUCUAUAUUGAUGUUAAAUAACAUUUCUUUACUUCGGAAUGGGUAGCAUCACCAGAGAGGAUUCUGUGUAAAACUCAGGAUACUAGAAUGUUUUAAAACACUCACAUGGUGCAGAAUAAUUUAGUUCAGUUAUAUGAUGACAAGACUAAACAAACUUUCUCUGGAGUUCUGGGUUUUUCAUUUCGUUACUUUGCACUGAGCAAGCAAAUAGAGAUGAGCUAUGAAAUUUUAGGACUUUGCCUUGAAACACGAUCUAGUUGACUUAUAAAAUCUGAGAUGUUGACAAAAUGUGCAGUCAAUAUCCAAAUAAAUGCAGUUACUUCAUUUUAUGUCAACGGAGAAGGUGAAAAGUGCAACUUAACUGGCUUGUGUUGGGAUUACAGGCGUGAGCCACCGUGCCCAGCCAGCUAAUUUUUAAUUUUUAUUUUUUAACUUCUGUAAGAAAAUAUCAUCCAUUUGGCUAAAAGAUACAUAAUUUUCAUUAUGUUCCCAAAUCAACCUAUACUACCAUAUGUACAUUACCAUAAAUUCAUGGUAAUAUACAUGACCAUAAAUGCAAACAACUAAAUAAUUUUUGUUUUGCAAGCCCUGUUGACACACACCAUUGGUGUGGCCCUUAUUGUGCCAUGUUAUCUCUGCCCUAGGCUGGCUUCUAAGCCUUUUAUGGCUCAUCUUUUUCAUAUUGCUAUGUCUAGUGCCUAGCCCAGUGGCAGGCACACAGGGUUGUUGAAUUUAGUGCUACACAUUAUGGAAGCUGAAAUGUUUGUUUUGACCCUUUGGUUUGUAUUUCUUCUUCGUAGAAAUCAACGCAACUUCAUGGAUCUUUAUCUUUUAAUAGUUUACAUGAAGUAUCUCACAUCUGGCAACUAUCACCCCCGACCCAAUCAUAAAUAACAUUCAAAGUUAUUUAACUUCCUUUAUUAAAGGGGAGCUGAAAGGAGCAGCAGACUUUGUUGGCCAACUUCUAGAAAGGAAAUAAAGGCCAUUCAGACGUCAGAAGAUUGUAUAUGUUAGUUGAUACAGUGCAUUCAGUGUUCUUAAAGGAUCAAACACCAAGUUAGUAUUGAACUCAAUUUUCCAUCUUCUUCAACAGUGUCUAAGUUAAGAAUCAAAGUUUGUUGGUGUUAAGAUGCUUUAAAGUAGAAUGUCUUGGGGCUUCACAUACCCUUCAGACACAUUUAUCCUAAGCUAAAUUUACCCUUUAUGAAGGGGACAACUUGAACUAUUUAAUGCACCUUAAAAAGUGGUGGUGAGAGGUAGAUACUUUUCAGUUGUUAUGUCAUGGCCUUUAUUCAGUAUUUCUGAAUCCUCUUACAGAUAGAAACACUUGCAAACAUUCAUCGGGAAUUUGGCUAGCAGAAUAGUAACCCACCAGCCAAAGCCCACCUCAUCCAGUUUCCAGUGGUUGGUUGCUAGAAAGAUAUUCCAGUGACUGUCCGAAAGCAAAAACAAGCGGACCCGUAGCUGUGCUCCUGUUCUGUGAAUGGUGUGCUCCGCAGUGUCCACCUCGGGGUGCUUCUGUGCACCUCUGGGCCCAAAGCUCAGUGAAAACUUUUCACUAUUCAUAAGGGGGUUCUCAAACCCAUGGUAGGUUAGACUUCAAGAUCUGGUUUUGAUCAUCCUAGAUUUAGUACUCUGCUGCCUGGAAAAUAUGAGCUGUGAGUAGUGUGAAGAGCUGUUACUGUAGGACCCACAGUUUGCAAGGUAACUUCAAUCUGUACCAGGUGUGAUUUGAUUUUGCUGAGAUGAGGGAGUUGGCAGAGAAGGGAGGGGGGUGGUAGGGAAGAGGCUGUGGAAAUACCCUCAGUAAAAAGUACCCAGAGUUGAAUCUUCUAGCUGUCAGAACAAGUUCUUCCUGGCAAACUGCGUUAACGGCAUUAGCCCCAGCCCACUGUCCUCAGUCUCUUCCUGCACUUGUAGGAGGAAAGUUGGUUCUAAGUUUCUGUUAUGCUCAGUAAUGAGACAGAAUAAGGUGACACGGAAGACAGUGAACCAGAGGAGGGAGAAUCCGAGGAUCUGCACCGAGUCCCUUUCUUCUAGUCAUUAGCUGGGACUUUGGCACGUUGCCGAAAUUCUCAGAAGGUCAGUUUGUUCCUUUGUCAAAUAAUAAUUAAAUCUUCCCUCUACCCAGAGAGUUUCCUAAAUGAACUUUUGAAAGAUAUUGUCUAUAAAAAUAUUUCAAGACCUGUAAAAAAUGUUUUUGACAAGACAGAUGUGAAAGUAUGCAGCAGAGCAUGUGUGUUUGAAAUCCUCCAGCCAUGAAGAUGAUUUUCUUAAAGGAGAAGUGUGUAUCUCCCGUUCUCAUACUCUGACUAUCCCUAUACUUCUGACAACUUCUAGGCGUUGGUUUCUGUGAACACACCUUGGUCACUACACGAGAGUGUGCUUGGUUUCCUCAUCAGUAAACUGGGGACAAUAAUACCCACCUCCCAGGGUUAUCGUGAGGAUGAAACAAAGCAACCUGUGUGAGCACAGAGCACUAUAGGAGUUCGCUGAAUGUUAGUUCCUCACUCUUUCCUCUCCACCCCCAUGCCCCUACUCUGGUGAAAUAAAAUCCUUCUUGUAUAACUCAGGAAGCCCCAGGAACACAUUCCUGCAAGCCAUGGAGGAAAGAAAUACUUCCCUGUGUCCUUUUGGAGAGAGCUGGGCUUCGGCUGGGCUGAUGUCAUAGCUAUGCUCCUGGCUGCCUUUUAGUCAGAAGAGAUGUUAGUGUGCUGAAAAAUAGCCAAGGAGGCUUUUUUCCUCUGCAUGGGAAAGAAGACAUUUUUGUCCAUCCUCCAAGUCUUCCUUGCACAGAUUACUGUCAAACCCAAGCACUUUAUUUAUAAAAAUGCCAACAUACUCUGAUUAUUUGGCGAAUAACCAUGCUGCUGUCAGUGUACAAACAGCACAUAGAGUAUAAAAACAAUCUCCAUUUUUAUCAUGGCUGUCACAGCUGGGAGGCUGUGGAACAAGGAUGCAUUGUUUGAGGGAAGGGCUGUAGAGGCAACAUUCAGGUCCUUUGGUGGCCUCCUGGGCAGAAAGACUGUGGUCACAUUUGGUAAACUGUUACAUGUUCUUUUACUGAAAAACAUUAGGCUUGCCAUAAAUUAGUUUCUGGGUUCAAUAUUGAGAUCUUGACAUACUGUUGCUUUUAGAUAAGCAUUCCCUGGCCUGCCUGUCUGUCUGCCUCUCUCUUCUCUAAUUCAUAGGCCGUCCAAAUGCCUACGUGCUUCCAUGGAACAGGAAGACAGACCCAGUGGCUGUGCAACCAAAGGAAAUCCAUCAUUCACUGAUGAAUUUCUAAUGACUUCAUAUUUUACUACCACAUGGAACUCCCAAAUAAAGCCUCUAGAAGGGAAACACACACCCAAUACUGGGGGAAGGAGGGGUAAAGAAGUGAUGGCCCUUUACUCAGCACUGGUUUCUGACCUCCUCAAGCUGGUUCCUUCUGGGUCAAGGUAGAUCCUAGGGAGGAUAACUCUCCUGGUUUCAGUAACAGUUGUGAAGCAUAUGUGUGAGUGCAUAUGAUGACUCUGCAUGUCUAAGGUCUAACAGAUUGGUCCCAGGAUAUUACAUGUUUUCCCUGGAAAACCAUUUCUUUUUUUCCUAAAAUGUGUUUCAUCAUUGUAUGAGCUGUUGCUGCUGCU
Molecule: long non-coding RNA, 8754 nt
Filed under: Homo sapiens (human)
Lineage: Eukaryota; Metazoa; Chordata; Mammalia; Primates; Hominidae
Description: HSALNT0316063
Source: RNAcentral